AGCUCCAAUAGCGUAUAUUAAAGUUGUUGCGGUUAAAAGCUCGUAGUUGGAUUUCUGAUAGGGGAGUUCGGUCCGCCCUCUGGGUGAGUAUCUGAAUUGCCUUGUCAUCUUCUUGGUGAACGUGUCUGCACUUGACUGUGUGGCGCGCUAUCCAGGACUUUUACUUUGAGGAAAUUAGAGUGUUUCAAGCAGGCUUUCGCCUUGAAUACAUUAGCAUGGAAUAAUAAGAUAGGACCUUGGUUCUAUUUUGUUGGUUUCUAGAGCUGAGGUAAUGAUUAAUAGGGAUAGUUGGGGGGCAUUCGU
RNAcentral lists this ribosomal RNA (303 nucleotides) under uncultured eukaryote. RNAcentral's name for it is "SSU rRNA". It matches the Rfam family "Eukaryotic small subunit ribosomal RNA", at positions 587 to 895 of the family's 1831-position model. The record is from RNAcentral.